CACUGCUCUGGGACUGGCUGCCACUACUCCCCAAUGUGCCAGAUUUUCAAGAAUUCUGAAUUUUUGAUAUACGGAUUUAUGAAGUUAUACUGUAUUAAAUAAAAACAAG
Long non-coding RNA from Gavialis gangeticus (Gharial), 109 nucleotides. RefSeq lists it as uncharacterized. The record is from RefSeq and is a predicted model, not a curated record. The transcript has 3 exons. NCBI's taxonomy places the organism in Eukaryota, Metazoa, Chordata, Crocodylia, Gavialidae.